This 433-nucleotide ribosomal RNA is filed under the name uncultured bacterium. RNAcentral's name for it is "partial 16S ribosomal RNA". It matches the Rfam family "Bacterial small subunit ribosomal RNA", at positions 29 to 507 of the family's 1533-position model. The record is from RNAcentral.
AGCGAACGCUGGCGGCAGGCCUAACACAUGCAAGUCGAACGAACUCUUCGGAGUUAGUGGCGGACGGGUGAGUAACACGUGGGAACGUGCCUUUUGGUUCGGAAUCACUCAGGGAAACUUGUGCUAAUACCGAAUGUGCCCUUCGGGGGUAAGAUGUAUCGCCAUUAGAGCGGCCCGCGUCUGAUUAGCUAGUUGGUGAGGUAACGGCUCACCAAGGCGACGAUCAGUAGCUGGUCUGGGAGGAUGACCAGCCACACUGGGACUGAGACACGGCCCAGACUCCUACGGGAGGCAGCAGUGGGGAAUCUUGCGCAAGGGGCGAAAGCCUGGCGCAGCCAUGCCGGGUGAAUGAUGAAGGUCUUAGGAUUGUAAAAUUCUUUCACCGGAGACGAUAAUGACGGUACCCGGAGAAGAAGCCCCGGCUAACUUCGUG